UAGACAAAAUGAGGAAGGGCUCUUCUUAGC
This 30-nucleotide non-coding RNA is filed under the name Rattus norvegicus (Norway rat). Lineage: Eukaryota; Metazoa; Chordata; Mammalia; Rodentia; Muridae. The record is from RNAcentral.